CUUGGUCAUUUAGAGGAAGUAAAAGUCGUAACAAGGUCUCCGUAGGUGAACCUGCGGAGGGAUCAUUACACAAAUAUGAAGGCGGGCUGGAACCUCUCGGGGUUACAGCCUUGCUGAAUUAUUCACCCUUGUCUUUUGCGUACUUCUUGUUUCCUUGGUGGGUUCGCCCACCACUAGGACAAACAUAAACCUUUUGUAAUUGCAAUCAGCGUCAGUAACAAAUUAAUAAUUACAACUUUCAACAACGGAUCUCUUGGUUCUGGCAUCGAUGAAGGACGCAGCGAAAUGCGAUAAGUAGUGUGAAUUGCAGAAUUCAGUGAAUCAUCGAAUCUUUGAACGCACAUUGCGCCCUUUGGUAUUCCAAAGGGCAUGCCUGUUCGAGCGUCAUUUGUACCCUCAAGCUUUGCUUGGUGUUGGGCGUCUUGUCUCUAGCUUUGCUGGAGACUCGCCUUAAAGUAAUUGGCAGCCGGCCUACUGGUUUCGGAGCGCAGCACAAGUCGCACUCUCUAUCAGCAAAGGUCUAGCAUCCAUUAAGCCUUUUUUUCAACUUUUGACCUCGGAUCAGGUAGGGAUACCCGCUGAACUUAAGCAUAUCAAUAAGCGGAGGAAAAGAAGCCAACAGGGAUUGCCCUAGUAACGGCGAGUGAAGCGGCAACAGCUCAAAUUUGAAAUCUGGCUCUUUUAGAGUCCGAGUUGUAAUUUGCAGAGGGCGCUUUGGCUU
Molecule: ribosomal RNA, 721 nt
Filed under: uncultured Alternaria
Lineage: Eukaryota; Fungi; Ascomycota; Dothideomycetes; Pleosporales; Pleosporaceae
Description: eukaryotic LSU rRNA
Rfam family: 5.8S ribosomal RNA (bases 234-387)
Source: RNAcentral